Kwoniella newhampshirensis is the source of this 83-nucleotide non-coding RNA. The record is from the annotation of a GenBank genome assembly. NCBI's taxonomy places the organism in Eukaryota, Fungi, Basidiomycota, Tremellomycetes, Tremellales, Cryptococcaceae.
GUCCGCGUAGCACAGUGGUAGUGCGCUUGACUACGACUCAUGCCGUCAUCAAGAGGUCGAGAUUUCGAUCAUCUCCGUGGAUU